Molecule: ribosomal RNA, 890 nt
Filed under: Aptostichus atomarius
Lineage: Eukaryota; Metazoa; Arthropoda; Arachnida; Araneae; Euctenizidae
Description: partial 16S ribosomal RNA
Source: RNAcentral
UUCUUUUAUAAGGACUUAAAGAAGAAAUUGUGCUGUUAUCCCUACGGUAGCUUGGUUGAAUUUCAGUUUGAAGAUGAGAGUAAAAGGGGAAUAAAGAUUUGGUUUUUUACCGCCCCAGUUAAACAGAAGUUAAGUUCGAUAGGGUCUUGUCGUCCUUCUUAUAUAUACAAGUUUUUUUACUUGAUUGAAAAGUUAAAAUAGUUAGGAUAAUAAAGAAGUUUAUAUGUCAGACCUUUCAUUCUGGCCUCCAAUUAAAAGGCAAAUGAUUAUGCUACCUUAGCACAAAAUAAUUGCGGCUAUUUAAAAAUCAUUGAGCAGGUCCUACUGAAUAUUAGAUCAUUCAGAAAUGUUUUUGAUAAACAGACAAUAAAAAUGGGCCGAGUUCAUGAGUUUAAGAUAAAUAAAUUAGAUAGGGGGUGAUAUUUUCCGAAAUGGUUAAAGCGAAUUUUACUAAUAAAAUCAUUAUGAAGAUUUUUAGAUGGUCUUUUUUUAAUAACACUUGACAAGAGAUAUAUAAGGAGUUUAAAAACUAAUAGGACACUAUUAAUCCUGAAGUUUGUUGGGUUCCGAGAAUGCGGCUUAUUUAAAAGAUUGUCCCUUUAAAGAUUUUAGUAUUUAUACUUUAAAGAAAAACCAGAUAUUUUGGAAUGCGCGUGGAAUUUCAUCUCUAAUUUUCCUUUAGAAAGUUUUUUGCAACAAGCUUGAAUAGAAAAAAUAGAUCAUUUCAAUUUCGGGAGUGUUUUUUGAAAACGCUGGUUGACUUUCCCUGAUACUAAAGGUAACAAUUUUUUUCUAUUUUACGAAUAAUAUGCCCCCUUACGGGAAGAUAAGAAAGAUAAUAAACAGGAAAGAUUAAAUAUUUGUUUAGACACAAAUUAAAAUGGAAAACU